Molecule: ribosomal RNA, 468 nt
Filed under: uncultured bacterium
Lineage: Bacteria
Description: partial 16S ribosomal RNA
Rfam family: Bacterial small subunit ribosomal RNA
Source: RNAcentral
GACGAACGCUGGCGGCGUGCUUAACACAUGCAAGUCGAACGGAAAGGCCCUGCUUUUGUGGGGUGCUCGAGUGGCGAACGGGUGAGUAACACGUGAGUAACCUGCCCUUGACUUUGGGAUAACUUCAGGAAACUGGGGCUAAUACCGGAUAGGAGCUCCUGCUGCAUGGUGGGGGUUGGAAAGUUUCGGCGGUUGGGGAUGGACUCGCGGCUUAUCAGCUUGUUGGUGGGGUAGUGGCUUACCAAGGCUUUGACGGGUAGCCGGCCUGAGAGGGUGACCGGCCACAUUGGGACUGAGAUACGGACCAGACUCCUACGGGAGGCAGCAGUGGGGAAUAUUGCACAAUGGGCGGACGCCUGAUGCAGCAACGCCGCGUGCGUGAUGACGGCCUUCGGGUUGUAAACCGCUUUCGCCUGUGACGAAGCGUGAGUGACGGUAAUGGGUAAAGAAGCACCGGCUAACUACGUG